Scomber scombrus (Atlantic mackerel) is the source of this 402-nucleotide long non-coding RNA. RefSeq lists it as uncharacterized. The transcript is spliced from 4 exons. The record is from RefSeq and is a predicted model, not a curated record. Lineage: Eukaryota; Metazoa; Chordata; Actinopteri; Scombriformes; Scombridae.
UGUGGGUCUGACUCUGGUCCUCAUCGUGCUCCUGUCCUCUGUGGCUGUGCUGAUACUCUGCAAGAAAAGAGCCUCUAAACCCAAAGAACAUCCUGAGGAAACAGAGUGUGUUGAUGUCACAGAGACCAGCCCAGUGUACGAGGAGAUCAGAGAGGGCGACAGACAGAGCAGAUCUCCUCCUGUGGAAAACUCAGUUGAAGCCUCAGGUGUCUACAGCUUGGUCACUGAUACAGCAUCCCGUCCUCUGAGCAAAACUGACGACGACUUAAAUGAACUCGACUACACUGAGGUAGAUUUUUCCAACAGAGCUGCCGCCUCACUCAGCAGCGCCCCCUCUGGUCAUGCCGAUAAUGUUAUCUACUCUACGCCUCAGACACACACUGAUGCCAAAGUAGAGUCACA